GACGAACGCUGGCGGCAUGCCUAACACAUGCAAGUCGAACGAGACCUUCGGGUCUAGUGGCGCACGGGUGCGUAACGCGUGGGAAUCUGCCCUUGGGUUCGGAAUAACUCAGAGAAAUUUGAGCUAAUACCGGAUGAUGACGUAAGUCCAAAGAUUUAUCGCCCAAGGAUGAGCCCGCGUAGGAUUAGCUAGUUGGUGAGGUAAAGGCUCACCAAGGCGACGAUCCUUAGCGGUCUGAGAGGAUGAUCAGCCACACUGGGACUGAGACACGGCCCAGACUCCUACGGGAGGCAGCAGUGGGGAAGUAUUGGACAAAUGGGCGAAAGCCUGAUCCAGCAAUGCCGCGUGAGUGAUGAAGGCCUUAGGGUUGUAAAGCUCUUUUACCCGGGAUGAUAAUGACAGUACCGGAGAAUAAGCUCCGGCUAACUCCGUGCCA
Molecule: ribosomal RNA, 436 nt
Filed under: uncultured bacterium
Lineage: Bacteria
Description: bacterial SSU rRNA
Rfam family: Bacterial small subunit ribosomal RNA
Source: RNAcentral